UACGAAGGGGGCUAGCGUUGUUCGGAAUUACUGGGCGUAAAGCGCACGUAGGCGGAUUAGCAAGUCAGGGGUGAAAUCCCGGGGCUCAACCUCGGAACUGCCUUUGAUACUGUUAGUCUAGAGUCCGGAAGAGGUGGGUGGAAUUCCUAGUGUAGAGGUGAAAUUCGCAGAUAUUAGGAAGAACACCGGUGGCGAAGGCGGCCCACUGGUCCGGAACUGACGCUGAGGUGCGAAAGCGUGGGGAGCAAACAGG
Molecule: ribosomal RNA, 253 nt
Filed under: uncultured bacterium
Lineage: Bacteria
Description: partial 16S ribosomal RNA
Rfam family: Bacterial small subunit ribosomal RNA
Source: RNAcentral